This 61-nucleotide transfer RNA is filed under the name Camelus bactrianus (Bactrian camel). It matches the Rfam family "tRNA". From Rfam's summary of the family: Transfer RNA (tRNA) molecules are approximately 80 nucleotides in length. Their secondary structure includes four short double-helical elements and three loops (D, anti-codon, and T loops). RNAcentral also lists the same sequence under 2 other names. Lineage: Eukaryota; Metazoa; Chordata; Mammalia; Artiodactyla; Camelidae. The record is from Rfam by way of RNAcentral.
GAGGGUAUAGCUCAGUGGUAUAGAGUGCAUGGAGUCCUGGGUUCAAUCCCCAGUACCUCUA